This 70-nucleotide transfer RNA is filed under the name Eusphyra blochii. RNAcentral's name for it is "tRNA-Asp". The record is from RNAcentral. Lineage: Eukaryota; Metazoa; Chordata; Chondrichthyes; Carcharhiniformes; Sphyrnidae.
AAGAUACUAGUAAAAUACAUUACACUGCCUUGUCAGGGCAAAAUUGUGAGUUAAAUCCUCACGUAUCUUA